ACGGAAGGCAGCAGUGGGGAAUAUUGCACAAUGGGCGCAAGCCUGAUGCAGCAACGCCGCGUGCGGGAUGAAGGCCUUCGGGUUGUAAACCGCUUUCAGCAGGGAAGAAACUGACGGUACCUGCACAAGAAGCUCCGGCUAACUACGUGCCAGCAGCCGCGGUAAUACGUAGGGAGCAAGCGUUAUCCGGAUUUAUUGGGCGUAAAGCGCGCGUAGGCGGGCUAUUAAGCGAGGUGUUAAAGAUUGGGGCUCAACCCCGACACGCACCUCGAACUGGUAGUCUUGAGUUCGGUAGGGGAAAGUGGAAUUCCCAGUGUAGCGGUGAAAUGCGCAGAUAUUGGGAAGAACACCGGUGGCGAAGGCGGCUUUCUGGGCCGUAACUGACGCUGAGACGCGAAAGCUAGGGGAGCAAACAGGAUUAGAUACCCUGGUA
Molecule: ribosomal RNA, 433 nt
Filed under: uncultured Coriobacteriaceae bacterium
Lineage: Bacteria; Bacillati; Actinomycetota; Coriobacteriia; Coriobacteriales; Coriobacteriaceae
Description: partial 16S ribosomal RNA
Rfam family: Bacterial small subunit ribosomal RNA
Source: RNAcentral